RNAcentral lists this ribosomal RNA (371 nucleotides) under uncultured organism. RNAcentral's name for it is "bacterial SSU rRNA". It matches the Rfam family "Bacterial small subunit ribosomal RNA", at positions 527 to 896 of the family's 1533-position model. The record is from RNAcentral.
CAGAGGGGCAAGCGUUGUUCGGAAUUACUGGGCGUAAAGGGCGCGUAGGCGGCCUUCUAAGUCGAACGUGAAAUCCCCGGGCUCAACCCGGGAACUGCGUCCGAGACUGGAAGGCUUGAAUCCGGGAGAGGGAUGUGGAAUUCCAGGUGUAGCGGUGAAAUGCGUAGAUAUCUGGAGGAACAUCGGUGGCGAAGGCGGCAUCCUGGACCGGUAUUGACGCUGAGGCGCGAAAGCCAGGGGAGCAAACGGGAUUAGAUACCCCGGUAGUCCUGGCCCUAAACGAUGAAUGCUUGGUGUGGCGGGUAUCGAUCCCUGCCGUGCCGAAGCUAACGCAUUAAGCAUUCCGCCUGGGGAGUACGGUCGCAAGGCUG